This 443-nucleotide ribosomal RNA is filed under the name uncultured bacterium. RNAcentral describes it as "partial 16S ribosomal RNA". It matches the Rfam family "Bacterial small subunit ribosomal RNA", at positions 338 to 795 of the family's 1533-position model. The record is from RNAcentral.
CCUACGGGAGGCAGCAGUGGGGAAUAUUGGGCAAUGGAAGAAACUCUGACCCAGCAACGCCGCGUGAAUGAUGAAGGUCUUCGGAUUGUACAGUUCUUUUCUAAGGGAAGAAGAAAGUGACGGUACCUUAGGAAUAAGCCUCGGCUAACUACGUGCCAGCAGCCGCGGUAAUACGUAGGAGGCAAGCGUUAUCCGGAAGGACUGGGCGUAAAGGGGGCGGAGGUGGUUUGACAAGUUGGUAGCGUAACUCCGGGGCUCAACCUCGGCACUACUACCAAAACUGUCGGACUUGAGUGCAGGAGGGGCAAAUGGAAUUCCUAGUGUAGCGGUGGAAUGCGUAGAUAUUAGGAGGAACACCAGUGGCGAAGGCGAUUUGCUGGACUGUAACUGACACUGAGGCACGAAAGCGUGGGGAGCAAACAGGAUUAGAUACCCCGGGAGUC